Molecule: transfer RNA, 72 nt
Filed under: Coptotermes testaceus
Lineage: Eukaryota; Metazoa; Arthropoda; Insecta; Blattodea; Rhinotermitidae
Description: tRNA-Ser
Source: RNAcentral
AAAGAAGUGACAGAAAAAGUGAAUGCUGCUAACUUAUCACUAUAGCGGUUAAAAUCCGUUUACACUUCUAUA